AUAUCAAUAAGCGGAGGAAAAGAAACUAACCAGGAUUCCCCUAGUAACGGCGAGUGAACCGGGAUUAGCCCAACGUGAAAAUCUCUUUGGAGAAUUGUAGUCUAUAGAAGCGCCCUCUGCAGCGGCAGGACCCCAAGUCUGGUGGAAGCCAGCGUCAGAGAGGGUGAGAACCCCGUCGGGUCUAUGCUAGCUGCUCCACGAGGUGCUUUCCACGAGUCGGGUUGUUUGAGAAUGCAGCCCAAAAUGGGAGGUAAAUCCCUUCUAAGGCUAAAUACUGGCGAGAGACCGAUAGCGCACAAGUA
RNAcentral lists this ribosomal RNA (302 nucleotides) under uncultured Chlamydomonas. RNAcentral's name for it is "partial large subunit ribosomal RNA". It matches the Rfam family "Eukaryotic large subunit ribosomal RNA", at positions 40 to 350 of the family's 3401-position model. Lineage: Eukaryota; Viridiplantae; Chlorophyta; Chlorophyceae; Chlamydomonadales; Chlamydomonadaceae. The record is from RNAcentral.